CUCAACUCAAUACAUAUAAUAUAAAACAAGUACCCCAGUGCCUCAAAAUCCAAAUUAUUCAAAAUAAAAUACAGACAAUUUGAAAAUUUCUUGCUUUACCAUCAACAAUCCUCAAAUGUACUAAAUAUACCAUAUAGUGAUCUCAUAACGACCUUUUCUAACAUAAACUACAUGUAACCUAAAAAAUAGCUACUACCUAAUCUGAUAAAGUAGACCAUACAACUAAUGACGUGUGGCUCAAUUCAAUAGAUCGACAGGCUCCAAUAUUGCUCAACUCAGCUGCUAUCUGAUAAGAAAAAAGGGUAACAAAAUAUAAGAUUAUAACUCAGUAAGUGGAUAGAUUGAAAAUAAGUAUACUUUUCCAUUUAUGCAUACUUCCUGAAAAUUAUAGCUCUAUUAAAUGUUUGGG
This 409-nucleotide long non-coding RNA is filed under the name Olea europaea (common olive). RNAcentral's name for it is "long non-coding RNA (OEUR_LNC000236)". Lineage: Eukaryota; Viridiplantae; Streptophyta; Magnoliopsida; Lamiales; Oleaceae. The record is from RNAcentral.